RNAcentral lists this ribosomal RNA (460 nucleotides) under uncultured Rhodoferax sp. RNAcentral's name for it is "bacterial SSU rRNA". It matches the Rfam family "Bacterial small subunit ribosomal RNA", at positions 924 to 1382 of the family's 1533-position model. Lineage: Bacteria; Pseudomonadati; Pseudomonadota; Betaproteobacteria; Burkholderiales; Comamonadaceae. The record is from RNAcentral.
CACAAGCGGUGGAGCAUUGUGGUUUAAUUCGAUGCAACGCGAAGAACCGUUACCUGGGCUUGACAUCCCGGGAAUCCCUUGGAAACAAGGGAGUGCCCUUCGGGAACCUGGAGACAGGUGCUGCAUGGCUGUCGUCAGCUCGUGUCGUGAGAUGUAGGGUUAAGUCCCGCAACGAGCGCAACCCUUGUCUUUAAUUGCCAUCAUUGAGUUGGGCACUUUAAAGAGACUGCCGGUGAUAAACCGGAGGAAGGCGGGGAUGACGUCAAGUCCUCAUGGCCCUUACAUCCCGGGCUACACACGUGCUACAAUGGCUGGUACAAAGGGUUGCCAACCCGCGAGGGGGAGCUAAUCCCAUAAAGCCAGUCGUAGUCCGGAUCGUAGUCUGCAACUCGACUACGUGAAGUCGGAAUCGCUAGUAAUCGUGGAUCAGAAUGUCACGGUGAAUACGUUCCCGGGUCUU